Molecule: ribosomal RNA, 382 nt
Filed under: uncultured fungus
Lineage: Eukaryota; Fungi
Description: SSU rRNA
Rfam family: Eukaryotic small subunit ribosomal RNA
Source: RNAcentral
AGCUCCAGUAGCGUAUAUUAAAGUUGUUGCAGUUAAAAAGCUCGUAGUCAGAUUUUGGAUUCUGUGAAUUGGUCUGGCUUUAUCGUCAGUAUUGAUUUGCGGGGUCUUUCUUUCUAGGGAAACUGUUUGCUUUUAAUUAAGUUGAGCAGUGAAUCUAGGACUUUUACUUUGAAAAAAUUAGAGUGUUUAAAGCAGGCAAUCGCUUGAAUACAUUAGCAUGGAAUAAUAGAAUAGGACUUUGGUUUUAUUUUGUUGGUUUUUAAGACCGAAGUAAUGAUUAAUAGGGACAGUUGGGGGGCAUUAGAAUCGACAUGUCAGAGGUGAAAUUCUUGAAUUUUGUCGCGUCUAACUUCUGCGAAAGCAUUUGCCAAGGAUGUUUUCA